This 454-nucleotide small RNA is filed under the name Pongo abelii (Sumatran orangutan). RNAcentral's name for it is "processed transcript". The record is from RNAcentral. Lineage: Eukaryota; Metazoa; Chordata; Mammalia; Primates; Hominidae.
GGAAAGCUGGGUGGAGGAAGAGCUCCCAAAUCCAACGUGGAAUUCUCUUGGUGACAACUCCCCAUUGAAGAAUGUUCCUUUCUUCUCUAGAAAGGAGGGCACCUUUCACGUGGUAGUUUUUGUCUCCUGUUUUCCGGGAGAGAAGGAAGAUCAGAGUGCCCUCGUUGCAUCUGCUGUUUUCAAGUUGCCUUUAGCUUGAGCCUGCUCAUCAGAAUUAGCCACAUGUCCCUGAACCAACUACAACGGAGGCUGGAAUAUGCAGUCUUCUCCAGCAUCUGGGAGAGGAAAGUGAACAUGGAGCAUUGUCUUGGCUGUGGUGGCCAACAAACAUUGGGACAGAACUUGAUUGUGGGGGCACCAGUGGGAGGCGAGUGUUACAAUCCGAUGGCUUCACUUGUGAGCUAUCUUCAUGAUAAUAUAGGCUAAACCUGAGCCCUGGGCUCCAGGACAGACA